AGUUGGAAACUGUGAAUAGAUUUGGCAUUG
RNAcentral lists this non-coding RNA (30 nucleotides) under Cricetulus griseus (Chinese hamster). Lineage: Eukaryota; Metazoa; Chordata; Mammalia; Rodentia; Cricetidae. The record is from RNAcentral.